Molecule: ribosomal RNA, 440 nt
Filed under: uncultured bacterium
Lineage: Bacteria
Description: partial 16S ribosomal RNA
Rfam family: Bacterial small subunit ribosomal RNA
Source: RNAcentral
CCUACGGGAGGCUGCAGUGGGGAAUAUUGCACAAUGGUGGAAACACUGAUGCAGCGACGCCGCGUGAGUGAAGAAGUAAUUCGGUAUGUAAAGCUCUAUCAGCAGGGAAGAAAAUGACGGUACGUGAGUAAGAAGCUCCGGCUAACUACGUGCCAGCAGCCGCGGUAAUACGCAGGGGGCAAGCGUUAUCCGGAUUUACUGGGUGUAAAGGGAGCGUAGACGGCUGUGCAAGUCUGGAGUGAAAGGCGGGGGCUCAACCCCCGGACUGCGCGGGAAACUGUACGGCUGGAGUGCAGGAGAGGUAAGUAGAAUUCCUAGUGUAGCGGUGAAAUGCGUAGAUAUUAGGAGGAACACCAGUGGCGAAGGCGGCUUACUGGACUGUAACUGACGUUGAGGCUCGAAAGCGUGGGGAGCAAACAGGAUUAGAUACCCGUGUAGUC